RNAcentral lists this ribosomal RNA (404 nucleotides) under Actinomycetes bacterium. RNAcentral's name for it is "Actinobacteria bacterium partial 16S ribosomal RNA". It matches the Rfam family "Bacterial small subunit ribosomal RNA", at positions 355 to 776 of the family's 1533-position model. Lineage: Bacteria; Bacillati; Actinomycetota; Actinomycetes. The record is from RNAcentral.
UGGGGAAUAUUGGACAAUGGGCGCAAGCCUGAUCCAGCCAUGCCGCGUGAGUGAUGAAGGCCCUAGGGUUGUAAAGCUCUUUCACCGGUGAAGAUAAUGACGGUAACCGGAGAAGAAGCCCCGGCUAACUUCGUGCCAGCAGCCGCGGUAAUACGAAGGGGGCUAGCGUUGUUCGGAUUUACUGGGCGUAAAGCGCACGUAGGCGGACUAUUAAGUCAGGGGUGAAAUCCCGGGGCUCAACCCCGGAACUGCCUUUGAUACUGGUAGUCUUGAGUUCGAGAGAGGUGAGUGGAAUUCCGAGUGUAGAGGUGAAAUUCGUAGAUAUUCGGAGGAACACCAGUGGCGAAGGCGGCUCACUGGCUCGAUACAGACGCUGAGGUGCGAAAGCGUGGGGAGCAAACAGG